CCGGGAAGAUUCCAACGAACCACUCACACACACUAUAUAGAGGUCACAAGAACAAGCCUACUGAACGUCCUCAAGAAGAAGCAGAAGCUUUUAGCCGGCAGCACCAUGGAGUUGCUUCUUCUUCUUCUUCUUCUUCUUCUUCUCGCAUGCUCUCUCAUCUUCCCUCUUGCCGCUCCUGCCAGGGAGAUCACCAACGCCUGCACCUCACAAGCUAAUGUUUUUCAGCACGUGAACGGCACCGGCAUGCACCUGCCGCUGCACCACCCGCAGAGCCCCUGCUCGCCGGCGCCUCUGCCCUCGGACCUCCCCUUCUCCGCUGUGAUCGCCCACGACGAGGCGCGCAUCGCCCGCCUCGCCUCGCGCCUUGCCAAGACUCCCUCCCGCCACCCGACGUCGCUCCGCCAACAGCACCUCGAGAAGUCCUCCGGCGAUAACCACCUCGCCGACUCACUGGCCAGCUCGGUGCCGCUCGCGCCCGGCACGUCGGUCGGCGUGGGCAACUACGUCACCCAGCUGGGCCUCGGCACGCCGGCGACCACCUACGCCAUGGUCGUCGACACGGGGUCGUCGCUCACGUGGCUCCAGUGCUCCCCCUGCGUGGUGUCGUGCCACCGGCAGGCCGGCCCGCUCUACAACCCGCGCGCGUCCAGCACGUACGCCGCCGUGCCGUGCUCGGCGCCGCAGUGCGGGGAGCUGCAGGCCGCCACGCUCAACCCGUCUUCGUGCUCCGCCUCCGGCGUCUGCAUCUACCAGGCAACCUACGGCGACAGCUCCUUCUCCCUGGGGUACCUCAGCAGGGACACCGUCUCCUUUGGCUCCGGCAGGUUCCCCGGCUUCUACUACGGCUGCGGCCAGGACAACGAGGGCCUCUUCGGCCGGUCGGCCGGGCUCAUCGGCCUCGCGCGCAACAAGCUGUCGCUGCUCUACCAGCUCGCGCCGAGCCUCGGCGACUCCUUCUCCUACUGCCUGCCGACCACGGCGUCCACCGGGUACCUGUCCAUCGGGUCGUACAACCCGGCGGAGUACUCGUACACGCCCAUGGUGUCCAGCUCGCUCGACGCCUCGCUCUACUUCGUCAGCCUCGCUAGCAUGUCCGUCGCCGGGAGCCCGCUCGCCGUGUCGCCCUCGGAGUACGGCAGCCAGCCGACGAUCAUCGACUCCGGCACUGUGAUCACGCGCCUGCCCAUGGCCGUGUACACGGCGCUGAGCAAGGCGUUGGGCGCGGCCAUGGGAGGGGCGCCCCGCGCGCCGGCGUACUCCAUCCUGGACACGUGCUUCAAGGGCCAGGUGUCAACGCUGCGCGUGCCGGCCGUGGACAUGGCGUUCGCCGGCGGCGCGACGCUGAAGCUGGCGCCGGGCAAUGUGCUGAUCGACGUGGACGAGUCCACGACGUGCCUCGCGUUCGCGGCCACCGACAGCACAGCGAUCAUCGGGAACACGCAGCAGCAGACGUUCGGCGUCGUCUACGACGUCGCGCAGUCCAGGAUCGGCUUCGCGGCCGGCGGCUGCAGCUGAAGAAUGGCUGAAAUGAACCGCACCUGCAUCGCAUGCAUGGACCCAACUAGGUAAAUCUGCAACCAGAGCACGCCAAGGUACUUGCAAAUUACAAUUACACCAAAGAAGAUAAACAAUGUCAUAAAGCACUGAUGGAUGUGAAAUAGUACUGUGUCAAACACAGGCAGGGCAACUGCAGUGUUUGCUCUUCUUCUGUCUGUACAAGUGCUUCAACCACUGUAUGUAUUGUAAAUGUACAAAAGUAUUGCAAUGGCCUAAAGAUUUGGGAUAUGAUACAC
RNAcentral lists this ribosomal RNA (1793 nucleotides) under Triticum aestivum (bread wheat). RNAcentral describes it as "partial small subunit ribosomal RNA". Lineage: Eukaryota; Viridiplantae; Streptophyta; Magnoliopsida; Poales; Poaceae. The record is from RNAcentral.